Molecule: ribosomal RNA, 460 nt
Filed under: uncultured bacterium
Lineage: Bacteria
Description: partial 16S ribosomal RNA
Rfam family: Bacterial small subunit ribosomal RNA
Source: RNAcentral
CCUACGGGAGGCAGCAGUGAGGAAUAUUGGUCAAUGGGCGCUAGCCUGAACCAGCCACGUAGCUUGACUGAUGACUGCCCUCUUGGUUUUAAACUUCUUUUAUAUGGGAGUAAAGUGCAGUAUGUAUACUGCUUUGCAUGUACCUUAUGAAUCAGGAUAGGCUAACUCCGUGCCAGCAGCCGCGGUAAUACGGAGGAUCCGAGCGUUAUCCGGAUUUAUUGGGUUUAAAGGGAGCGGAGGCGGGUCGUUAAGUCAGUUGUGAAAGGUUGCGGCUCAACCGUAAAAUUGCAGUUGAUACUGGCAUCCUUGAGUGCAGUAGAGGUAGGCGGAAUUCGUGGUGUAGCGGUGAAAUGCUUAGAUAUCACGAAGAACUCCGAUUGCGAAGGCAGCCUGCUGGACUGUAACUGACGCUGAUGCUCGAAAGUGUGGGUAUCAAACAGGAUUAGAUACCCUGGUAGUC